Molecule: ribosomal RNA, 357 nt
Filed under: uncultured Paracoccaceae bacterium
Lineage: Bacteria; Pseudomonadati; Pseudomonadota; Alphaproteobacteria; Rhodobacterales; Paracoccaceae
Description: bacterial SSU rRNA
Rfam family: Bacterial small subunit ribosomal RNA
Source: RNAcentral
GACGAACGCUGGCGGCAGGCUUAACACAUGCAAGUCGAGCGCAUCCUUCGGGGUGAGCGGCGGACGGGUUAGUAACGCGUGGGAACGUGCCCCUUGCUCUGGAAUAGCCCUGGGAAACUGGGGGUAAUACCGGAUGUGCCCUGAGGGGGAAAGGUUUAUCCGGCAAGGGAUCGGCCCGCGUCUGAUUAGGUAGUUGGUGGGGUAACGGCUCACCAAGCCGACGAUCGGUAGCUGGUUUGAGAGGAUGAUCAGCAACACUGGGACUGAGACACGGCCCAGACUCCUACGGGAGGCAGCAGUGGGGAAUCUUGGACAAUGGGGGCAACCCUGAUCCAGCCAUGCCGCGUGGGUGAUGAA